RNAcentral lists this microRNA precursor (138 nucleotides) under Aedes aegypti (yellow fever mosquito). Its description in RNAcentral is "pre miRNA AAEL028735". Lineage: Eukaryota; Metazoa; Arthropoda; Insecta; Diptera; Culicidae. The record is from RNAcentral.
AGUUUGUAUCCUUUGACAGAUACGCGUAUUUCGACCUCAACUGUAAGGCCGUCUUCAGUGUCGAGUCUAGUACACGACACUGAAGACGGCCUUACAGUUGAGGUCGAAAUACGCGUAUCUGUCAAAGGAUACAAACUC